GUGGGGAAUCUUGCGCAAUGAGCGAAAGCCUGACGCAGCCAUGCCGCGUGAAUGAUGAAGGUCUUAGGAUUGUAAAAUUCUUUCACCGGGGACGAUAAUGACGGUACCCGGAGAAGAAGCCCCGGCUAACUUCGUGCCAGCAGCCGCGGUAAUACGAAGGGGGCUAGCGUUGCUCGGAAUUACUGGGCGUAAAGGGCGCGUAGGCGGACAGUUUAGUCAGAGGUGAAAGCCCAGGGCUCAACCUUGGAAUUGCCUUUGAUACUGGCUGUCUUGAGUACGGGAGAGGUGAGUGGAACUCCGAGUGUAGAGGUGAAAUUCGUAGAUAUUCGGAAGAACACCAGUGGCGAAGGCGACUCACUGGCCCGUUACUGACGCUGAGGCGCGAAAGCGUGGGGAGCAAACAGGAUUAGAAACCCGAGUAGUCC
This 425-nucleotide ribosomal RNA is filed under the name uncultured bacterium. RNAcentral's name for it is "partial 16S ribosomal RNA". It matches the Rfam family "Bacterial small subunit ribosomal RNA", at positions 354 to 796 of the family's 1533-position model. The record is from RNAcentral.